CACCUUCGAAGGCUAAGUACUCCUGACUGACCGAUAGUGAACCAGUACCGUGAGGGAAAGGUGAAAAGCACCCCGACGAGGGGAGUGAAACAGUUUCUGAAACCGGACGCCUACAAUCAGUCGGAGGCUCCUUGAGAGCUGACGGCGUACCUUUUGUAUAAUGGGUCAUCGACUUGGUCUAUCUAGCAAGCUUAAGCCGUUAGGUGUAGGCGCAGCGAAAGCGAGUCUUAAUAGGGCGAAUGAGUUAGAUGGAUCAGACCCGAAACCGAGUGAUCUAGGCAUGACCAGGAUGAAGGUAAGGUAACACUUACUGGAGGUCCGAACCCACACCUGUUGAAAAAGGUCGGGAUGAGUUGUGCCUAGGGGUGAAAGGCCAAUCAAACUCGGAGAUAGCUGGUUCUCCGCGAAAUCUAUUUAGGUAGAGCGUCAUCCGAAUACCCCGGGGGGUAGAGCACUGGAUGGGUAAUGGGGCCCCACAGGCUUACUGAUCCUAACCAAACUCCGAAUACCCGGGAGUACUAGAUGGCAGACACACGGCGGAUGCUAACGUCCGUCGUGGAGAGGGAAACAACCCUGACCGACAGUUAAGGCCCCCAAUUCAUGGCUAAGUGGGAAAGCAGGUGGGACGACCAAAACAACCAGGAGGUUGGCUUAGAAGCAGCCAUCCUUUAAAGAUAGCGUAACAGCUCACUGGUCUAAAUAAGUUGUCCUGCGGCGAAGAUGUAACGGGGCUCAAGCCAUGAGCCGAAACUUCGGAUGCAUUUAAUGCAUGGUAGCGGAGCGUAGUGUGACAUAGUUUCCUGUCUCUUUUGAUCCCUUUGGGGUCAUGGGAGACGCGAAGCUUUCUGUGAAGCCGGGCUGUAAGGCAUCCGGUGGAGAGAUCACUAGUGAGAAUGAUGACAUGAGUAGCGACAAAGAGUGUGAGAGACACUCUCGCCGAAAGUCCAAGGGUUCCUGCUUAAAGCUAAUCUGAGCAGGGUAAGCCGACCCCUAAGUCGAGGCCGAAGGGCGUAGACGAUGGGAACCAGGUUAAUAUUCCUGGGCCAGGAGAUGGUGACGGAUUGUGAAGGUUGUUCCUCCUUAUUGGAUUGGAGGGGCCGCUGAUCAGUCCCUGGAAAUAGCCCUCCAUAAGAUCGUACCCUAAACCGACACAGGUGGACUGGUAGAGAAUACCAAGGCGCUUGAGAGAACUAUCUUGAAGGAACUCGGCAAAAUACCUCCGUAAGUUCGCGAGAAGGAGGCCCAGUGUUUACGCAAGUAGAUACUGGGGGCACAAACUAGGGGGUGGCGACUGUUUACUAAAAACACAGGGCUCUGCGAAGUCGCAAGACGACGUAUAGGGUCUGACGCCUGCCCGGUGCCUGAAGGUUAAAAGGAGGGGUGAGAGCUCCGAAUUGAAGCCCAGGUAAACGGCGGCCGUAACUAUAACGGUCCUAAGGUAGCGA
This 1445-nucleotide ribosomal RNA is filed under the name Chaetoceros neogracilis. Its description in RNAcentral is "partial Bacterial large subunit ribosomal RNA". It matches the Rfam family "Bacterial large subunit ribosomal RNA", at positions 454 to 1962 of the family's 2925-position model. The record is from RNAcentral. Lineage: Eukaryota; Bacillariophyta; Thalassiosirophyceae; Chaetocerotales; Chaetocerotaceae.